Molecule: ribosomal RNA, 392 nt
Filed under: uncultured bacterium
Lineage: Bacteria
Description: partial 16S ribosomal RNA
Rfam family: Bacterial small subunit ribosomal RNA
Source: RNAcentral
AUACGGAGGAUCCGAGCGUUAUCCGGAUUUAUUGGGUUUAAAGGGUGCGCAGGCGGCCAUUUAAGUCAGCGGUUAAAUCGUGGGGCUCAACCCCAUUCUGCCGUUGAUACUGGGUGGCUUGAUUGCGGUCGAGGUUGGCGGAAUUCGUUGUGUAGCGGUGAAAUGCAUAGAUAUGACGAAGAACACCGAUUGCGUAGGCAGCUGACCAGACCGAAAAUGGCGCUCAUGCACGAAAGUGCGGGGAUCGAACAGGAUUAGAUACCCUGGUAGUCCGCACAGUAAACGAUGAAUACUUGUUUUCGGCGAUAUAAUGUCGGAGGCAAAGCGAAAGCGAUAAGUAUUCCCCCUGGGGAGUACGCCGGCAACGGUGAAACUCAAAUGAAUUGACGGGG